UUAAGCGACUAAGCGUACACGGUGGAUGCCCUGGCAGUCAGAGGCGAUGAAGGACGUGCUAAUCUGCGAUAAGCGUCGGUGAGGUGAUAUGAACCGUUAUAACCGGCGAUUUCCGAAUGGGGAAACCCAGUGUGUUUCGACACACUAUCAUUAACUGAAUCCAUAGGUUAAUGAGGCGAACCGGGGGAACUGAAACAUCUAAGUACCCCGAGGAAAAGAAAUCAACCGAGAUUCCCCCAGUAGCGGCGAGCGAACGGGGAGGAGCCCAGAGCCUGAAUCAGUGUGUGUGUUAGUGGAAGCGUCUGGAAAGGCGUGCGAUACAGGGUGACAGCCCCGUACACAAAAAUGCACAUAUUGUGAGCUCGAUGAGUAGGGCGGGACACGUGGUAUCCUGUCUGAAUAUGGGGGGACCAUCCUCCAAGGCUAAAUACUCCUGACUGACCGAUAGUGAACCAGUACCGUGAGGGAAAGGCGAAAAGAACCCCGGCGAGGGGAGUGAAAAAGAACCUGAAACCGUGUACGUACAAGCAGUGGGAGCCUCUUUAUGGGGUGACUGCGUACCUUUUGUAUAAUGGGUCAGCGACUUAUAUUCUGUAGCAAGGUUAACCGAAUAGGGGAGCCGAAGGGAAACCGAGUCUUAACUGGGCGUUAAGUUGCAGGGUAUAGACCCGAAACCCGGUGAUCUAGCCAUGGGCAGGUUGAAGGUUGGGUAACACUAACUGGAGGACCGAACCGACUAAUGUUGAAAAAUUAGCGGAUGACUUGUGGCUGGGGGUGAAAGGCCAAUCAAACCGGGAGAUAGCUGGUUCUCCCCGAAAGCUAUUUAGGUAGCGCCUCGUAAAUUCAUCUCCGGGGGUAGAGCACUGUUUCGGCAAGGGGGUCAUCCCGACUUACCAACCCGAUGCAAACUGCGAAUACCGGAGAAUGUUAUCACGGGAGACACACGGCGGGUGCUAACGUCCGUCGUGAAGAGGGAAACAACCCAGACCGCCAGCUAAGGUCCCAAAGUCAUGGUUAAGUGGGAAACGAUGUGGGAAGGCCCAGACAGCCAGGAUGUUGGCUUAGAAGCAGCCAUCAUUUAAAGAAAGCGUAAUAGCUCACUGGUCGAGUCGGCCUGCGCGGAAGAUGUAACGGGGCUAAACCAUGCACCGAAGCUGCGGCAGCGACACUAUGUGUUGUUGGGUAGGGGAGCGUUCUGUAAGCCUGUGAAGGUGGCCUGUGAGGGUUGCUGGAGGUAUCAGAAGUGCGAAUGCUGACAUAAGUAACGAUAAAGCGGGUGAAAAGCCCGCUCGCCGGAAGACCAAGGGUUCCUGUCCAACGUUAAUCGGGGCAGGGUGAGUCGACCCCUAAGGCGAGGCCGAAAGGCGUAGUCGAUGGGAAACAGGUUAAUAUUCCUGUACUUGGUGUUACUGCGAAGGGGGGACGGAGAAGGCUAUGUUGGCCGGGCGACGGUUGUCCCGGUUUAAGCGUGUAGGCUGGUUUUCCAGGCAAAUCCGGAAAACCAAGGCUGAGGCGUGAUGACGAGGCACUACGGUGCUGAAGCGACAAAUGCCCUGCUUCCAGGAAAAGCCUCUAAGCAUCAGGUAACAUCAAAUCGUACCCCAAACCGACACAGGUGGUCAGGUAGAGAAUACCAAGGCGCUUGAGAGAACUCGGGUGAAGGAACUAGGCAAAAUGGUGCCGUAACUUCGGGAGAAGGCACGCUGAUAUGUAGGUGAAGCGACUUGCUCGUGGAGCUGAAAUCAGUCGAAGAUACCAGCUGGCUGCAACUGUUUAUUAAAAACACAGCACUGUGCAAACACGAAAGUGGACGUAUACGGUGUGACGCCUGCCCGGUGCCGGAAGGUUAAUUGAUGGGGUUAGCGGCAACGCGAAGCUCUUGAUCGAAGCCCCGGUAAACGGCGGCCGUAACUAUAACGGUCCUAAGGUAGCGAAAUUCCUUGUCGGGUAAGUUCCGACCUGCACGAAUGGCGUAAUGAUGGCCAGGCUGUCUCCACCCGAGACUCAGUGAAAUUGAACUCGCUGUGAAGAUGCAGUGUACCCGCGGCAAGACGGAAAGACCCCGUGAACCUUUACUAUAGCUUGACACUGAACAUUGAGCCUUGAUGUGUAGGAUAGGUGGGAGGCUUUGAAGUGUGGACGCCAGUCUGCAUGGAGCCGACCUUGAAAUACCACCCUUUAAUGUUUGAUGUUCUAACGUUGGCCCGUAAUCCGGGUUGCGGACAGUGUCUGGUGGGUAGUUUGACUGGGGCGGUCUCCUCCUAAAGAGUAACGGAGGAGCACGAAGGUUGGCUAAUCCUGGUCGGACAUCAGGAGGUUAGUGCAAUGGCAUAAGCCAGCUUGACUGCGAGCGUGACGGCGCGAGCAGGUGCGAAAGCAGGUCAUAGUGAUCCGGUGGUUCUGAAUGGAAGGGCCAUCGCUCAACGGAUAAAAGGUACUCCGGGGAUAACAGGCUGAUACCGCCCAAGAGUUCAUAUCGACGGCGGUGUUUGGCACCUCGAUGUCGGCUCAUCACAUCCUGGGGCUGAAGUAGGUCCCAAGGGUAUGGCUGUUCGCCAUUUAAAGUGGUACGCGAGCUGGGUUUAGAACGUCGUGAGACAGUUCGGUCCCUAUCUGCCGUGGGCGCUGGAGAACUGAGGGGGGCUGCUCCUAGUACGAGAGGACCGGAGUGGACGCAUCACUGGUGUUCGGGUUGUCAUGCCAAUGGCACUGCCCGGUAGCUAAAUGCGGAAGAGAUAAGUGCUGAAAGCAUCUAAGCACGAAACUUGCCCCGAGAUGAGUUCUCCCUGACUCCUUGAGAGUCCUGAAGGAACGUUGAAGACGACGACGUUGAUAGGCCGGGUGUGUAAGCGCAGCGAUGCGUUGAGCUAACCGGUACUAAUGAACCGUGAGGCUUAACCUU
RNAcentral lists this ribosomal RNA (2902 nucleotides) under Escherichia coli HVH 228 (4-7787030). RNAcentral's name for it is "bacterial LSU rRNA". It matches the Rfam family "Bacterial large subunit ribosomal RNA". The record is from RNAcentral. Lineage: Bacteria; Pseudomonadati; Pseudomonadota; Gammaproteobacteria; Enterobacterales; Enterobacteriaceae.